CGAACGGGUGAGUAAUGCGUAACCAACCUGCCCCAUGCUCCAGAAUAGCUCUUGGAAACGGGUGGUAAUGCUGGAUGCUCCAACUUGACGCAUGUCUUGUUGGGAAAGUGUUUAGUGGCAUGGGAUGGGGUCGCGUCCUAUCAGCUUGUAGGCGGGGUAAUGGCCCACCUAGGCUUCGACGGGUAGCCGGCCUGAGAGGGCGGACGGCCACAUUGGGACUGAGAUACGGCCCAGACUCCUACGGGAGGCAGCAGGG
Molecule: ribosomal RNA, 256 nt
Filed under: uncultured Gardnerella sp.
Lineage: Bacteria; Bacillati; Actinomycetota; Actinomycetes; Bifidobacteriales; Bifidobacteriaceae
Description: partial 16S ribosomal RNA
Rfam family: Bacterial small subunit ribosomal RNA
Source: RNAcentral